Molecule: ribosomal RNA, 468 nt
Filed under: uncultured bacterium
Lineage: Bacteria
Description: partial 16S ribosomal RNA
Rfam family: Bacterial small subunit ribosomal RNA
Source: RNAcentral
GACGAACGCUGGCGGCGUGCUUAACACAUGCAAGUCGAACGGAAAGGCCCUGCUUUUGUGGGGUGCUCGAGUGGCGAACGGGUGAGUAACACGUGAGUAACCUGCCCUUGACUUUGGGAUAACUUCAGGAAACUGGGGCUAAUACCGGAUAGGAGCUCCUGCUGCAUGGUGGGGGUUGGAAAGUUUCGGCGGUUGGGGAUGGACUCGCGGCUUAUCAGCUUGUUGGUGGGGUAGUGGCUUACCAAGGCUUUGGCGGGUAGCCGGCCUGAGAGGGUGACCGGCCACAUUGGGACUGAGAUACGGCCCAGACUCCUACGGGAGGCAGCAGUGGGGAAUAUUGCACAAUGGGCGGAAGCCUGAUGCAGCAACGCCGCGUGCGGGAUGACGGCCUUCGGGUUGUAAACCGCUUUCGCCUGUGACGAAGCGUGAGUGACGGUAAUGGGUAAAGAAGCGCCGGCUAACUACGUG